Molecule: ribosomal RNA, 321 nt
Filed under: uncultured Pseudomonas sp.
Lineage: Bacteria; Pseudomonadati; Pseudomonadota; Gammaproteobacteria; Pseudomonadales; Pseudomonadaceae
Description: bacterial SSU rRNA
Rfam family: Bacterial small subunit ribosomal RNA
Source: RNAcentral
UCGUGUCGUGAGAUGUUGGGUUAAGUCCGUACGAGCGCAACCCUGUCCUUAGUUACCAGCACGUUAUGGUGGGCACUCUAAGGAGACUGCCGGGUGACAACCGGAGGAAGGUGGGGGAUGACGUCAAGUCAUCAUGGCCCUUACGGCCUGGGCUACACACGUGCUACAAUGGUCGGUACAAAGGGUUGCCAAGCCGCGAGGUGGAGCUAAUCCCAUAAAACCGAUCGUAGUCCGGAUCGCAGUCUGCAACUCGACUGCGUGAAGUCGGAAUCGCUAGUAAUCGUGAAUCAGAAUGUCACGGUGAAUACGUUCCCGGGCCUU